GUGUCUGAGGGGUUGGAGCAAAUGCGGUUAUAGCUCAGAGCUUGGCUGUAGACGAUGGAUCAUGUGGUGUGUCCGGGAUGAAAGGUGGAGGCAUGAAGGUAGGCAUAGCGGUUGGUGGGGUGGGAUGGUGUUAACGUGAGUGUCACUUAUUUGUACCGUGGUGUCUAGGAAGUGGAUCUGCCUUGUAGAUUGGUCCAGGCUGAGGUUGAUGGUGGGGUGGAAACUGUUGAAAUCAUGCUCCAAUACUUCUGUUAGUCUUUAAGGUGCCACAGGACUCUUCGUCACAUUUUACAGAUCCAGACUAACACGGUUACCCCUCUGAUACUUGUAGUAGUCUAUAUUUGCCUUUAUCUUGUUAGAGGUUAACAAUGGAACCAAACAGUUCCUGUCUAGGGCUGUAUUCUGUUAAUUCAGAGAUCAAAAGGGAAUAAUAACAUUUAGAUGAAACUUGGGUGUAAUAAUGUCAUUGCAUGUCUCUUUAAAGUUUGUGGUAAACUGUCUAUGAACUUCUUUAUGGAUAAUUACCUUAUGUUAAUCCAUGUGGUUAAUUACUGGUGAUGUUUAGGAAAUAGAAGGUUACUUCAAAAGCCUAGUGAACAAUAGUUCUCCCAAGGACUGCCUGCUGAUGAGAAGCUGCAAAAAUCUGUAUAAAAACUCUUGGGACCUGAUCCUUUUCUCUCCAAUCUUGUUAAGCUUUAUUCAGAGGAAGUUUGAGUCAUAAGAUGGAGAUCUCCAGUCCCAUCUGGACUGCCCUGAUAUGGAACAUUUUUACAUGGACUAUAACCUCAUGAAAGGAUUCUGAAAAGGACUCUUUACAAUUCUUAAGCACUAUCUCUACAGUGAAACUGACCUAAGGACUCUAUUCAUGUCUGACAGAAGUGACAAAGUGCAAGCUGGUCUCCAUAUUGGAAGAGAAGGUUCGAGGUCUGGAGAAGCAAGUAUCAACCGUGCGUUGCCUACGAGAAAAUGAAGAUUUCCUGGACAGACGUCAGGAUAUGCUUGUACGGGCACAACGUUCUGAAGAUUCGGAGCAGGCUGCCCAGAGGGGACAGAGGGAUGGUGAAGAAAUUUGGCAGCAUGUGACCUCCAGAAGAAGAAAGAGGAGCGUCCAUGUACCAGCAAUGGAGAUACAGCUAUAUCUUGUUAUAAUGUAGUAGCAAACAUUUGCAUUGUGUAUAACCCAUCAAACAAGGAAGAAGCCUUGUGGAAUGAAAAUGAAGAACCUGAACAGAAAACAGCUAAUAUCAAAGCAAGUGGGCGUUGUGUGUGAGACUCGGAGGUCAAAGACUCAAAAUGCGUUCCUCACUCUCUGCCAUGAGAGGAAAAGCCCACGUGUGUAGUGACCCUGUCAACCUGUUUUCUCUAAGGCCUGGUCUACACUACGGGUUUAGGUCGACUUUAGCAGCGUUAAACCGAAUUAAGCCUGGACACGUCCACACAACGAAGCCCUUUCUUUC
Long non-coding RNA from Trachemys scripta elegans, 1457 nucleotides. RefSeq lists it as uncharacterized. The record is from RefSeq and is a predicted model, not a curated record. The transcript has 3 exons. NCBI's taxonomy places the organism in Eukaryota, Metazoa, Chordata, Testudines, Emydidae.